RNAcentral lists this ribosomal RNA (688 nucleotides) under uncultured bacterium. RNAcentral's name for it is "bacterial SSU rRNA". It matches the Rfam family "Bacterial small subunit ribosomal RNA", at positions 147 to 830 of the family's 1533-position model. The record is from RNAcentral.
CGCUCGGAAACGGACGCUAAUACCGCAUGCGUCCUACGGGAGAAAGCAGGGGACCUUCGGGCCUUGCGCUAUCAGAUGAGCCUAGGUCGGAUUAGCUAGUUGGUGAGGUAAUGACUCACCAAGGCGACGAUCCGUAACUGGUCUGAGAGGAUGAUCAGUCACACUGGAACUGAGACACGGUCCAGACUCCUACGGGAGGCAGCAGUGGGGAAUAUUGGACAAUGGGCGAGAGCCUGAUCCAGCCAUGCCGCGUGUGUGAAGAAGGUCUUCGGAUUGUAAAGCACUUUAAGUUGGGAGGAAGGGCAGUUACCUAAUACGUAUCUGUUUUGACGUUACCGACAGAAUAAGCACCGGCUAACUCUGUGCCAGCAGCCGCGGUAAUACAGAGGGUGCAAGCGUUAAUCGGAAUUACUGGGCGUAAAGCGCGCGUAGGUGGUUUGUUAAGUUGGAUGUGAAAUCCCCGGGCUCAACCUGGGAACUGCAUUCAAAACUGACAAGCUAGAGUAUGGUAGAGGGUGGUGGAAUUUCCUGUGUAGCGGUGAAAUGCGUAGAUAUAGGAAGGAACACCAGUGGCGAAGGCGACCACCUGGACUGAUACUGACACUGAGGUGCGAAAGCGUGGGGAGCGAACAGGAUUAGAUACCCUGGUAGUCCACGCCGUAAACGAUGUCAACUAGCCGUUGGGAGC